CUGGGCUUGACAUGCAUCUCUAAGCGCGUGAAAGCGCGCGACCCUUCGGGGGAUUUGCACAGGUGCUGCAUGGCCGUCGUCAGCUCGUGUCGUGAGAUGUUGGGUUAAGUCCCGCAACGAGCGCAACCCUUGUGAGCAGUUGCCAGCGCGUCAUGGCGGGAACUCUGCUCAGACUGCCCAGAUCAACUGGGAGGAAGGUGGGGACGACGUCAGGUCAGUAUGGCCCUUACGCCCAGGGCUGCACACGUACUACAAUGCCCAGCACAAUGAGAGCCGAGACCGCGAGGUGGAGGAAAUCUAUAAAACUGGGCCCAGUUCGGAUUGGAGGCUGCAACCCGCCUCCAUGAAGUUGGAAUCGCUAGUAAUGGCGCAUCAGCUACGGCGCCGUGAAUACGUUCCC
RNAcentral lists this ribosomal RNA (400 nucleotides) under uncultured bacterium. RNAcentral's name for it is "bacterial SSU rRNA". It matches the Rfam family "Bacterial small subunit ribosomal RNA", at positions 975 to 1375 of the family's 1533-position model. The record is from RNAcentral.